Molecule: ribosomal RNA, 171 nt
Filed under: Triticum aestivum (bread wheat)
Lineage: Eukaryota; Viridiplantae; Streptophyta; Magnoliopsida; Poales; Poaceae
Description: partial small subunit ribosomal RNA
Source: RNAcentral
AUGGCGGAGGGCUGCACGCUUGACUUCGACAUCGCCGUCUUCAACAUGGAUAAGAUCUCCCUUGCCGGCCACAAUGAGGCCCGCACCUGCACUGCUUAUAUGGUGGCGGGCGGGCGUAACCUCUUACCACUGCUCCCGGAGGCGUCAAGGGCGUCAUGCCCUCUGUCAUGA